RNAcentral lists this ribosomal RNA (404 nucleotides) under uncultured bacterium. Its description in RNAcentral is "partial 16S ribosomal RNA". It matches the Rfam family "Bacterial small subunit ribosomal RNA", at positions 28 to 526 of the family's 1533-position model. The record is from RNAcentral.
GAUGAACGCUGACAGAAUGCUUAACACAUGCAAGUCAACUGUGGCGGACGGGUGAGUAACGCGUAAAGAACUUGCCUCACGGAUAGGGACAACAUUUGGAAACGAAUGCUAAUACCUGAUACUGUGAGAGAGCUUUGCGUCCCAUUAGCUAGUUGGAGAGGUAACGGCUCACAAAGGAGAUGAUGGGUAGCCGGCCUGAGAGGGUGAUCGGCCAAAAGGGGACUGGGAAACGGCCAUUAGUCCUACGGGAGGAAGCAGUGGGGAUUAUUGGACAAUGGACCAAAGUCUGAUCCAGAAAUUCUGUGUGCACGAUGAAGUUUUCGGAAUGUAAAGUGCUUUCAGUUGGGAAGCGGUACCAACAGAAGAAGUGACGGCUAACUACGUGCCAGCAGCCGCGGUAAUAC